UUGGAGGGCAAGUCUGGUGCCAGCAGCCGCGGUAAUUCCAGCUCCAAUAGCGUAUAUUAAAGUUGUUGCAGUUAAAAAGCUCGUAGUUGAGUUUCGGGAUUGACACAUCGGUCGUGCCUUAAGGGGUAUGAACUGGUGUAGUCAGUUUCUCACCCUCUGGAGAACCGCGAUGUCCUUAAUUGGGUGCCGCGAGGAACCAGGACCUUUACUUUGAAAAAAUUAGAGUGUUUAAAGCAGGCAUUUUGCUUGAAUACAUUAGCAUGGAAUAAUAAAAUAGGACGGAUGGUUCUAUUUUGUUGGUUUCUAGGAUCACCGUAAUGAUUAAUAGGGAUAGUUGGGGGCAUUAGUAUUCGAUUGUCAGAGGUGAAAUUCUUGGAUUUAUUGAAGACUAACUACUGCGAAAGCAUUUGCCAAGGAUGUUUUCAUUAAUCAAGAACGAAAGUUAGGGGAUCGAAGACGAUCAGAUACCGUCGUAGUCUUGACCAUAAACUAUGCCGACUAGGAAUCAGACGAUGUUAAUUUUUUAAUGACUCGUUUGGCACCUUACGGGAAACCAAAGUGUUUGGGUUC
This 570-nucleotide ribosomal RNA is filed under the name uncultured Glomeromycotina. RNAcentral's name for it is "SSU rRNA". It matches the Rfam family "Eukaryotic small subunit ribosomal RNA", at positions 548 to 1114 of the family's 1831-position model. Lineage: Eukaryota; Fungi; Glomeromycota. The record is from RNAcentral.